RNAcentral lists this ribosomal RNA (159 nucleotides) under Fusarium sp. Its description in RNAcentral is "5.8S ribosomal RNA". It matches the Rfam family "5.8S ribosomal RNA". From Rfam's summary of the family: 5.8S ribosomal RNA (5.8S rRNA) is a component of the large subunit of the eukaryotic ribosome. It is transcribed by RNA polymerase I as part of the 45S precursor that also contains 18S and 28S rRNA. Lineage: Eukaryota; Fungi; Ascomycota; Sordariomycetes; Hypocreales; Nectriaceae. The record is from RNAcentral. RNAcentral also lists the same sequence under 22 other names.
AAACUUUCAACAACGGAUCUCUUGGCUCUGGCAUCGAUGAAGAACGCAGCGAAAUGCGAUAAGUAAUGUGAAUUGCAGAAUUCAGUGAAUCAUCGAAUCUUUGAACGCACAUUGCGCCCGCCAGUAUUCUGGCGGGCAUGCCUGUUCGAGCGUCAUUAC